GUCCUCUUGAAUUUAAUUUGAGGUCUAGCCUGCCCACUGAAAUUAUUUAAAUGGCCGCAGUAAUUUGACUGUGCAAAGGUAGCAUAAUCAUUAGUUUUUUAAUUAAAAGCUUGUAUGAAUGGUUGGACAAAGUAAAAUCUGUCUCUAUUUAAUUUAUAAUAGAAUUUAAUUUUUAAGUUAAAAAGCUUAAAUUUUUAUAAAAGACGAGAAGACCCUAUAGAUCUUUAUUUAGAUUUAUAUAAUUUUAAUUUAGAAUUUUUUAUUAAUUAUAUUUUUUUAAAUUUUAUUGGGGUAAUAAAAAGAUUAAAAAAAUUCUUUUUUUAAUAUACAUUGAUUUAUGAAUAAAUGAUCCAAUAUUUUUGAUUAAAAGAUUAAGUUACCUUAGGGAUAACAGCGUAAUUUUUUUAGAGAGUUCAUAUCGAUAAAAAAGUUUGCGACCUCGAUGUUGGAUUAAAAAUUAUCUUAGGUGCAGAAGUUUAAGAUUAUGGUCUGUUCGACCAUUGAAUUUUU
RNAcentral lists this ribosomal RNA (510 nucleotides) under Eretes sticticus. RNAcentral describes it as "partial 16S ribosomal RNA". The stretch from base 387 to 510 matches the Rfam family "Bacterial large subunit ribosomal RNA", at positions 2473 to 2597 of the family's 2925-position model. The record is from RNAcentral. Lineage: Eukaryota; Metazoa; Arthropoda; Insecta; Coleoptera; Dytiscidae.